RNAcentral lists this ribosomal RNA (459 nucleotides) under uncultured bacterium. RNAcentral describes it as "partial 16S ribosomal RNA". It matches the Rfam family "Bacterial small subunit ribosomal RNA", at positions 338 to 795 of the family's 1533-position model. The record is from RNAcentral.
CCUACGGGAGGCAGCAGUGAGGAAUAUUGGUCAAUGGACGAGAGUCUGAACCAGCCAAGUAGCGUGAAGGAUGACUGCCCUAUGGGUUGUAAACUUCUUUUAUAUGGGAAUAAAACAGGGUAUGCAUACCCUCUUGUAUGUACCAUAUGAAUAAGGAUCGGCUAACUCCGUGCCAGCAGCCGCGGUAAUACGGAGGAUCCGAGCGUUAUCCGGAUUUAUUGGGUUUAAAGGGAGCGUAGGUGGAUUGUUAAGUCAGUUGUGAAAGUUUGCGGCUCAACCGUAAAAUUGCAGUUGAAACUGGCAGUCGUGAGUACAGUAGAGGUGGGCGGAAUUCGUGGUGUAGCGGUGAAAUGCUUAGAUAUCACGAAGAACUCCGAUUGCGAAGGCAGCUCACUGGACUGAAACUGACACUGAUGCUCGAAAGUGUGGGUAUCAAACAGGAUUAGAUACCCCUGUGUC